This is a long non-coding RNA of Manis javanica (Malayan pangolin), 523 nucleotides long. RefSeq lists it as uncharacterized. The record is from RefSeq and is a predicted model, not a curated record. Lineage: Eukaryota; Metazoa; Chordata; Mammalia; Pholidota; Manidae.
GAAAGAAGCUAUUUUUGGCCCAAAGACUCUCCUGUACUUGCACAUUGUACCUCUUGGACAUCCGGGGACUUAGCCUUAGCCCGCUGAUUCACAGUUAUCAGCAUCUAUACAUACAGUGGUACAGAGAAUAUAAGCUCAGUGAGAGCAAAGACUGUAUCUACAUCUCCUGGAACAAAAGGAGGAAAAUGAGGAAUUGACUCAAGGAGGUUGGAAGACGUGGCUUUUGUCAUUCAACUGCCCAGUAACCAAGACUUGCUUGUGUUCAGUUUGGAGAGAGCAUCACAGAUGCUUGGCUGUGAUCCAUCCUCCUCCCAAAUUCAAGGCCUUCCUACCCAUCCAGCCCUGCCAGGCCUCUCUGCCUUCAGGAGGAACAAGGGGAAGGGGUGCAUUUUCAUUCCUGGGAAACAAAUCUCUACUGCCCAGGAGUACUGGGGUGAAAAUAAACAAUCCCAGAGAUCUUGGAGAGUCCCGAAGGAGAAAGGAAGAGGGAAGGACUGGAGAGGAAAGAGGAAAGGAGCCACAG